RNAcentral lists this long non-coding RNA (244 nucleotides) under Nicotiana benthamiana. Its description in RNAcentral is "long non-coding RNA (NBEN_LNC012539)". Lineage: Eukaryota; Viridiplantae; Streptophyta; Magnoliopsida; Solanales; Solanaceae. The record is from RNAcentral.
UGGAAGAAGAUAUAACUUUCUUAUUUCAUUAAAUGUUCAAGUGUAUUACAUCUCAUAUUUUAUAUUUCUAUUUAUAUUAUUACAUACGAAGGUUACAAAAUAAUUGUCUUAAAUAUGACACUAAUAAUUGAGAUUAUGUGAGAAGAUCAUGGUAGAGAUUAUGGAGACGCGGGAGUUACAAUUAUAAUAGUAAUGAGUAAUGAAAAAUUAUUCAAAUUAUGAAAAAAAAUAGUGAAAGUAGCAC